AAUGCUAAGAGCAGGAUUUUAAAAGAACACUGAGGGCACAGCGCCCGAGUCAGACUGCGGAAAUAUUCCUUGCUGCCUUCCUUCUGAGAACAAA
RNAcentral lists this small nucleolar RNA (94 nucleotides) under Erinaceus europaeus (western European hedgehog). RNAcentral's name for it is "Small nucleolar RNA U83B (ENSEEUG00000021783.1)". The stretch from base 34 to 89 matches the Rfam family "Small nucleolar RNA U83B", at positions 34 to 89 of the family's 94-position model. From Rfam's summary of the family: U83B belongs to the C/D family of snoRNAs. The record is from RNAcentral. Lineage: Eukaryota; Metazoa; Chordata; Mammalia; Eulipotyphla; Erinaceidae.